CCUACGGGGGGCAGCAGUGAGGAAUAUUGGUCAAUGGGCGGAAGCCUGAACCAGCCAAGUCGCGUGAGGGAAGAAGGCCCUGCGGGUCGCAGACCUCUUUGGACGGGGAGCAAGGCCGCCGACGUGUCGGCGGAAGGAGAGUACCCGUAGAACAAGCAUCGGCUAACUCCGUGCCAGCAGCCGCGGUAAUACGUAUGGUGCAAGCGUUAUCCGGAUUUACUGGGUGUAAAGGGAGCGCAGGCGGCACGGCAAGCCUGAUGUGAAAGCCCGCGGCCCAACCGCGGGACUGCAUUGGGAACUACCGG
This 305-nucleotide ribosomal RNA is filed under the name uncultured bacterium. RNAcentral's name for it is "bacterial SSU rRNA". It matches the Rfam family "Bacterial small subunit ribosomal RNA", at positions 338 to 639 of the family's 1533-position model. The record is from RNAcentral.